This 253-nucleotide ribosomal RNA is filed under the name uncultured bacterium. Its description in RNAcentral is "partial 16S ribosomal RNA". It matches the Rfam family "Bacterial small subunit ribosomal RNA", at positions 524 to 776 of the family's 1533-position model. The record is from RNAcentral.
UACAGAGGGUGCAAGCGUUAAUCGGAAUUACUGGGCGUAAAGCGUGCGUAGACGGUUAUGUAAGUCAGGUGUGAAAGCCCUGGGCUCAACCUGGGAAUGGCAUUGGAUACUGGCGGGCUAGAGUGCGGUAGAGGGCAGUGGAAUUCCCGGUGUAGCAGUGAAAUGCGUAGAGAUCGGGAGGAACAUCUGUGGCGAAGGCGACUGCCUGGACCAGCACUGACACUGAGGCACGAAAGCGUGGGGAGCAAACAGG